AUGGCCUGAACCCCCGAAACCCAAAGAACACCUCAAAUGGGACUGAAAACAAAUAUUCGUAAAUGUCCCCUGCAUAAUUGUAUCUGAAUUACGUAUGUAUCUGACGCAUGUAUGAACAUCUCACUUCAAGCCACUAUGCAUCAUUCAUGCCCUAAACAUCAAAUUGGUGACGAAAUCCGAUUCCGGCCUCCGAUUCAGAUCCUGAUUAAUCUCAUUGGAGUAGGGAUGUGAGAGGUACCAACUUGGAAGUGGUAAAGGUGGCACCAAGGCUUGCUGAUCCAAAUUCGAGCGCGCGUAACAAUCUGGAGAUAUCAACUUUCUCAGAGGAGGCCGGGACUGCAAAUUGAACCGUUGGAUGUUCCUUUCCUAACCGCUGUCAUCUAGCUGCAUAGCGGGUUGAUCGUGACCUUAAGGGGUUCAAUCCUAGUAGUUAUGUGUUCUGGUACUAGUUUAAUCAAUGUUUAAAUGUUUGAUGACUUUUGUUUGGUUUCUGGGCUAGUUCUUCUUUUAUAUUGGUAGUAAAGUAAUAGUAAUUUGCAUUUGGUUAAGCUGGGUUGU
This 558-nucleotide long non-coding RNA is filed under the name Helianthus annuus (common sunflower). Lineage: Eukaryota; Viridiplantae; Streptophyta; Magnoliopsida; Asterales; Asteraceae. The record is from RNAcentral.